UUGUGUUAUAGAACACACCAUAUAGUAAUUAUUGGACUUUGAUUGUGCUCUGAGAAAUUAGGGAGAGAGACUCUUUAAGAUCUCCAUGACAGAAGCAGGAUUGCUAUUUAUGCUAUACUAGCUGAUAAUCCAAGUAAAUAUCUAAAAUAGUGACAUGUUUGCACAUUGAAAUCAAUUAUGUAUUUGCAAAUUGUUUUUUAGAAUUUUUCUAUGUAUGAGAACAUGUUUCAAAUUUAAUUAAUUAUACAUAUGAAAUGAAAUAUUAAAUAAUGUUUCUUGAUUUUUUAUUUUAGUAUUUUGAUAGUCGUUAUUUGUUAAAAAUUGACUUUUCUUUUUUCUUAUUAAAAAAGUAUUUACUUUCCGUAUAUAAAAGCAUUAUAUAAUGAACAUACUUGUUAUACAAAAAACACGGUUUUAUUUAUCAGGUUUAUGUAUUUAUAGUUACAGUAUAUCGUAAUUUAGGUUUAUCACUAGAUAUUGUAUUUAUAUACCAUAAAAAUCGAAUUUGCAGUAUUAUCAGAUUAUUAAAUGUUUAUUUACGGUUUUAUACUAACUAUGAAAAUAAAUAUUUUCUAUAUAUUUUGCGUGGAAAAGAACUAAACUUUCUCUAGAAGUCUAAAAAAACCUAACUACUUGCAAAUAUUGGAAAGGAGAAUCGGGUAAUAUGCACAAUAACGUAUUAAAUAUACAGUAACCAUGUUAAGCAACUCAUAAAUUUGCAAGCAGAUUUAUUAAAUGUAUUUACUGAAUAUAGAAAAUAUCUAAAUAUUAUGUUCAGUUUAUAAAUAUAAAUGUCGCCUUAUAAAUAUAGUGUAAUGUUUCAUUAUAGCAUUUACGUGAUUUCUCGUUGAUACCUCGGGACUAAAAUUUAAGUUACAACUUAAAAAUAUUUAUCUUUUAAUAUAUAGAUGAUAAUAUUUUGUUUCAAUAAUUAAUGUAUAUAUUUUUUUCUAAAAAAUAAAAUUAAAAAUGUAAAUUAAAACUAAUUCAGUCAAUCAUAAAAAUACUACGCCAUAAAACAUCAUUAAUGACAUAUUUUUUAGUUAAUAUAAAAAUAUCAAAACAGAAAGCAUUUAGGAAACAUCUUAAACUUCCAAGACAUUAUCUAUUUUGGAACGGAAAGGGUAUAUUUGUGUUUUCCACUUGAUGAUUAGUUGAUUACUCGUUUUUCAAAGUUCAAGCAGAAUUCAUGUAUAUUUGUUUAUUUUGUUAUGGUUUUGGUUUUAUCCAACAUGUUAAAUCUAUAAUUUGUAAACGGAAGCGUGAAGGAAAUAGCAUUAAAUACUAGUAUGACUUAGGAGUAGGGAGAUCAAAACAUUAAUUAAUUAAUUAAACAAAAAAAAAGGAAAAUAAAAGAGAGAAUUGUGUUGGAUUUGGAUUGGAUCUGUCUUUUUUAUGUAAAAUAGAAAAAAAGGGAAAAGGGGAAUAAAACGCCGACAAGAGUAACCAACCAACCAAUAGGUAAUCAGAAAAAAAUCCAUUGCAAAGUUUUCUUACAGCCCUAAGAAGCCCCCUCCCAUCGUCCCGCGACCACCGCCUCAAGCAAUCAAAUCAAAUCUCUGUCUGGAUCAGAGCCCUCCCUUCCUUCUUGUUCCCUCUCUUUCGUUGUGCUCUACGUGAUUGAUCUCUACCUCGCUUCCUUCCUAGUUUCCGUAUUGGAAUCAGAGUCUGUUAUUGGGUUUCUGGGAUCGAAUUGGGAUUAAAAAAUUUAGGGUUUAUAGAGGAGGAAGCAAUCGCCUAUGGCUCCGGGGCGUAAAAGAGGAGCGAGCAAGGCUAACGCCAAGGGGCAGUUGAUCCUCGGUGAUCUCGUUCUUGCCAAAGUCAAAGGCUUCCCUGCUUGGCCUGCUAAGAUUAGCCGGCCUGAAGAGUGGGAUCGUGUGCCUGACCCAAAGAAGUACUUUGUUAAGUUCUUUGGAACUCAGGAAAUCGCUUUUGUUGCACCGCCUGAUAUCCAAGCCUUCACUAAUGAGGCAAAGAGCAAACUAUUAGCAAGAUGUCAAGGUAAAACACUCAAGUAUUUUGCGCAAGCUGUAACCGAAAUAUGCACCGCUUUUGAAGAGUUGCAGAACCGCAAGUCAUUGGAUCCUCUCGAUUCAGCGGAGGCUGAGACAUUGAGUGGAACAACAGAUCAUAUAGUCCCUAAAUUAGAUAAGAACGAUGGUGACGAGACAAACGCUGAGACUGUGAAGAAGGAUUCAUCCCCGGGUAGUUCAUAUGACCCUAAAAUAAAGGAAGAAGAUUUUGAUAAAGGAGCUGGCGGUGAUGGUUUCACUAAUGGUCAAAAGAAUGUUGCGAGAACAAAGAAGGUAGCUGGUGGCUCGGACAAAGAAGGUGAUACAAUUCAUAGAGACAAAAGCAGUAACUCAAAAGCAGUAAUUAAGAGUGGGGUUUCAGGCAAGAAAAGAAGGCUUGAAAGUGAACUAGGGAAGCCUGCACCAAAAAGACUAGAUGAAAGCUCGCCUGCUGCUAAAAAACCACGAACUGAAGGUAAAAAUGGCAGCAUAAAGUGUGAAAUUGAUGAUGAAUCUGAUCCUACUGGGACUGGAUCAGAUAUUAAGCACGACCUUGUUGUUUUAGGAGGAAAUUUAAUGGUGGAGCAUGAUACCUCUCCUCCUUUUUCUGGGUCUCGUGGUAGAUCCGGGAAAGUUCAUCUGGAACAGAAAGACCGUUCCUCUCCUGUUAAGGUUCCAGUUGCACAGUCUCUGAAAAAACGGAGGGCUGUUUGCAUCUAUGACGAAGAUGAUGAUGAAGAUCCGAAAACCCCAUUACAUGGAAGUCGAGCUGCUGUUCCCAAAACAUCAGAAUUGACUGAUGGUCCCAAAAGUGGCAAUGCAUCUACUAAAGCUAAGGUAUCUGCUGGACCUACAGAGAGUACUCGAGUAAGGAAAGCACCUCUGCGUAAACAUUGCGAGGAUGCUUCACGCGUAUUAUCGGAAAAUGUGGAGAAAUCUGCUAAUAGCUUACCCAUAGUGAAACCCAUCAGUGAGUUGCCGCCAAAGGAAGUCAAGCAGAUCGUUAAAUCUCCUAUGCUGUCUCCUCAGCUGGGUUCAUCUAACAAGCACGUUACAGCACCGCAAAAAGCUGCAAAGUCAUCUGUAAAAGUUUCUGGUGUUGUGAUGGCAAAGAAGCCUCAGAGUGAUUCUUUUAAGGAGGCAGUUAUGAAAUCUGAUAAAGUAAGCUCUUCUCUGUCUCAAUCUGAUCAGAGACACAAACCAGCUUCACUUAAAGAUAGGCCAAGAGACACUUCUGAGGACUUGUCUGCUGUGAUGCUUGAUGGCAACCGAGAAAAUUGGAGUGCUCCAUUUAUCAGUGCGAAGACCCCAGAUGCAGCUUCAUCUAUGAAGGAUCUAAUUGCAGCAGCACAGGCCAAAAGAAAACUAGCACAUUCACACAAUUCAGUUUUUGGGAAUUUGAACCCUAGUUUCAUGAGCAUCAGCGAUGCGCAGAUGAGGAGCCAGAGCCCGUUUAUGGUUCAGAGUGCUUCAGCUUCUGCUGCCAUCGCAAUGCCUUUAGUUGUUGAAGGACAUGAACAGGAUUCUUCUCCGUCAAAUCAUGGGCAUCAGUCCUCAUCAAGAAAUCAAAAUGAGGUUGAUGAUAAUGAAGAGAGAAGACUUAGUUCAGGGCAUAAGUCAGCUGGAGGUUCACUUAGUGGUGGUACUGAGGCGGCUGUUUCCCGAGAUGCUUUUGAAGGGAUGAUAGAGACCUUAUCAAGAACUAAGGAAAGUAUUGGACGUGCAACACGCCUAGCAAUUGAUUGUGCUAAGUAUGGGAUUGCUAGUGAGGUGGUGGAACUUCUCAUACGAAAGUUGGAAAGUGAACAUCAAUUGCAUCGUAAAGUGGACUUGUUCUUUCUCGUUGACUCUAUCACCCAGUGUUCGCACAACCAAAAAGGUAUUGCUGGUGCUUCAUACGUUCCUACUGUGCAAGCUGCUUUGCCACGUCUUUUAGGUGCUGCUGCUCCUUCAGGGAUCGAUGCUCGUGACAAUCGUCGUAAAUGUCUGAAGGUUCUGAGGUUGUGGCUUGAUAGGAAAAUUUUCCCUGAAUCUCUUCUGCGUCGUUAUAUUGAUGAUAUUGGAGCUUCUGGCGAUGAUGGAACCGUUGGGAUUUCCCUGCGACGUCCUUCUAGAUCUGAGCGUUCUGUAGAUGAUCCUAUCAGAGAAAUGGAAGGGAUGCAUGUUGAUGAGUAUGGCAGCAAUGCAACUAUUCAGCUGCCUGGGUUUUUCUCUUCUCAUACCUUUGAGGAUGAAGAAGAAGAAGAUGACGAUCGUCCAAUAUCACAAAAAGCAAAAAGCACAUCUUCUGGGGAACCUUUUGACUUGGAAACACGUGAUACUUCAAGUGAUAGAGACCAUCGAGUUUUGGAGGAUGUAGAUCGUGAUCUUGAAAUGGCAGAUGUAUCUGGUGAGGGGAAAGAUGUAGCACCUUCCGCUAUCUGUGAGAAUGAGUCACUGAAUGUUAGUGAACCAGUUGCGGAAAAGUCAACUGGGGUGCCUCCUCUUUCAGAGGAUUCUCCUCCGCUACCUCACGAAUCACCUCCAUCUCCCCCUCCUCUACCUCCUUCUCCACCACCUCCAUCUCCACCUCCUCCGCCUUCAUCUCCGCCUCCGUUGCUGCCACCACCACCUCCCACAGCGCAGACCCCACCUCUUCCUUCACCCUUGUCUCAGCCUCCACCACCACCUCCCACCGCGCAGAUCCCACCUCUUCCUCCACCCUUGUCUCAGCCUCCACCACCACCGCCCCUUACACCUCCACCUUCACCUCCACCCCCACCUCCACCGCCUGCACAAUCUAUAGCUUUACCAACUCAACCAUCCAUAGCCAGCCAUCAUCAAUUACCACCUCAGUUAGGAUUUCCUCCGCCAGCAUAUCCAUUAUCGCAUCAAACAUACCCAGGAUCUAUACAGCAAGACCGCUGUAGCAUUUUCACUGGCGAUCAAAUUGUCCAAGGGCCUGGAAGUUGUUCUUCACGUGGAAGUCAUCUGCAGCAGUCAUAUAAUUUUAAUCCUGAAGCUUCUUCACAGAACCAACGGUUUCAGCCGAACACCACUCUCUCCCAAAGACCUAUGGUUAGGAAUCCGCCUUUAGCACCGUCCAGUCAUUUUCCGUAUCCAAGCCAUGUUCAAUCUCAAUCCCCGCAUACCUACACUCAUCCUUACUCUUUCCCACCUCAACGUGAUGAUGUACGGCGAUAUAGAGAUGAGGAACCAUGGCGGAUGUCUUCAAGUGGGCGUAGUGCAGAAAACCAGAGUGGUGCCUGGAUACGUGGAAGACAUUCACAUCCAGGCCUUCCUAGAGUCACAGACAGUAUAUUUCUUUCGGCCACCUUCAGUGACAGUGAGCUAUCAACCUUCUUCUGCUAGUAACUUACAAGCUAUCCCGGCAAUUCCAGGUCAUGCUGCUGCUUCCCAGAUGCUACCGUCUCGGCCAGACCUGCCUGCCGGGAAUUGCUGGCGGCCAGCUUGAAGUGAGGGUAGAAUUUCGUUGGCCUGCUCCUGUUAGUAUCAAGGAUAAAGAAGCUGCUAAUGUCUCAUUAACAAGGCUAAUCCUCUAGUUGCGAGAAAAUAUAUUGUUGUCGUGCGACAGGCUUUUGAUGCAUAACUGAACCGCCUAGAUCGAUGGCAAGGCGGUCCUGAUGAGACUAUGCAAAAAGCUUGGUGUGUGUGAGUUCUGAGUUUGGUUCGGGAGCUGAGAAGAUUGUAGUUUCUCAAGUUGGGAGGUUAGUUUUGUCGUCACUGAUAAUCAUUAAUCAGGACCACCUCGUUGAGACUCUUGAGCAUAGAGUAAGUAAGAUAAGCCCAAAUCACACUCUAUAAACUAUAUAUUUGUAUAUUAUACGCUUUACCAAAAGUGAAAAAACUGUUCUUGUAACCAAAAGAUCAAGUCUUGUUCUAUUACAGAUUGUUUUUACUCAA
RNA transcript from Brassica napus (rape), 5915 nucleotides. It is a transcript of the gene named ENHANCER OF AG-4 protein 2, with no coding region annotated. Lineage: Eukaryota; Viridiplantae; Streptophyta; Magnoliopsida; Brassicales; Brassicaceae. The record is from RefSeq and is a predicted model, not a curated record. The transcript is spliced from 13 exons.